GGGCAGGUGGCUCAGUGGUAGAGCACUUGCCUUGCAUGCAUGAGGCCCUGGUUCGAUUCCUCACCACCACA
RNAcentral lists this transfer RNA (71 nucleotides) under Dipodomys ordii (Ord's kangaroo rat). It matches the Rfam family "tRNA". From Rfam's summary of the family: Transfer RNA (tRNA) molecules are approximately 80 nucleotides in length. Their secondary structure includes four short double-helical elements and three loops (D, anti-codon, and T loops). The record is from Rfam by way of RNAcentral. Lineage: Eukaryota; Metazoa; Chordata; Mammalia; Rodentia; Heteromyidae.